GCAACGAGCGCAACCCUCGUGCUAUGUUUGAUUUUCUCAUAGCAGACUGCCUUGUACAGCAAGGAGGAAGUGGGGAUGACGUCAAGUCAGCAUGGCCUUUAUGCCCUGGGCUACACACACGCUACAAUGGGUGGGUACAGAGGGUUGCCACGGAGCAAUCCGGAGCGAAUCCCUUAAAACCAUCCUCAGUUCGGAUUGUAGGCUGCAAUCGCCUGCAUGAAGCCGGAGCUGCUAGUAACCGCAGGUCAGCUAUACUGCGGUGAAUACGUUCUCGGGCCUU
RNAcentral lists this ribosomal RNA (280 nucleotides) under uncultured Chloroflexota bacterium. RNAcentral's name for it is "uncultured Chloroflexi bacterium partial 16S ribosomal RNA". It matches the Rfam family "Bacterial small subunit ribosomal RNA", at positions 1089 to 1382 of the family's 1533-position model. The record is from RNAcentral. Lineage: Bacteria; Bacillati; Chloroflexota.